UACGUAGGGCGCAAGCGUUGUCCGGAAUUAUUGGGCGUAAAGAGCUCGUAGGCGGUUUGUCGCGUCUGCUGUGAAAACCCGAGGCUCAACCUCGGGCCUGCAGUGGGUACGGGCAGACUAGAGUGCGGUAGGGGAGACCGGAAUUCCUGGUGUAGCGGUGGAAUGCGCAGAUAUCAGGAGGAACACCGAUGGCGAAGGCAGGUCUCUGGGCCGCAACUGACGCUGAGGAGCGAAAGCAUGGGGAGCGAACAGG
Molecule: ribosomal RNA, 253 nt
Filed under: uncultured bacterium
Lineage: Bacteria
Description: partial 16S ribosomal RNA
Rfam family: Bacterial small subunit ribosomal RNA
Source: RNAcentral